CCGAUGAAGGACGGGACUAACACCGAUAUGCUUUGGGGAGCUGUACGUAAGCUAUGAUCCAGAGAUUUCCGAAUGGGGGAACCCAACAUCUUUAAUAGGAUGUUACGAUUGUGUGAAUACAUAGCACAUUCGAGGUAGACGCAGAGAACUGAAACAUCUAAGUACCUGCAGGAAGAGAAAGAAAAUUCGAUUCCCUGAGUAGCGGCGAGCGAAACGGGAAAAGCCCAAACCAGCAAGCUUGCUUGUUGGGGUUGUAGGACUCCAAUAUGGUAGUUCUUUCAGAUAGUCGAAUGACUUGGAAAAGUCAGUCAAAGAGGGUAAAAACCCCGUAGACGAAAUGUGGAAGACACCUAGGAGGAUCCUGAGUACGGCGGAACACGAGAAAUUCCGUCGGAAUCCGGGAGGACCAUCUCCCAAGGCUAAAUACUCCCUAGUGACCGAUAGUGAACCAGUACCGUGAGGGAAAGGUGAAAAGCACCCCGGAAGGGGAGUGAAAUAGAACCUGAAACCGUGUGCCUACAACAAGUCAAAGCCCGUUAAUGGGUGAUGGCGUGCCUUUUGUAGAAUGAACCGGCGAGUUACGAUUGCAUGCGAGGUUAAGUUGAAGAGACGGAGCCGCAGCGAAAGCGAGUCUGAAUAGGGCGUUUGAGUAUGUAGUCGUAGACCCGAAACCAUGUGAUCUACCCAUGUCCAGGUUGAAGGUGCGGUAAAACGCACUGGAGGACCGAACCCACGUACGUUGAAAAGUGCGGGGAUGAGGUGUGGGUAGCGGAGAAAUUCCAAACGAACUUGGAGAUAGCUGGUUCUCUCCGAAAUAGCUUUAGGGCUAGCCUCGGAAUU
RNAcentral lists this ribosomal RNA (840 nucleotides) under Enterococcus faecium. Its description in RNAcentral is "partial 23S ribosomal RNA". It matches the Rfam family "Bacterial large subunit ribosomal RNA", at positions 46 to 889 of the family's 2925-position model. Lineage: Bacteria; Bacillati; Bacillota; Bacilli; Lactobacillales; Enterococcaceae. The record is from RNAcentral.